AUGUAUGUGGGUCAGAAUGAGGGCAUCCUUAUGGCUCUCAAGGUGUCUAGUCUUAGGCUAUCUUUUGGACUUCUUGGCUUGACUAGUUUCUCUCUUACUGUGCCUCUGACCAUCUCUUGGCCUGUACUUCCUAGGCUCAAGGCUUUUAGAGAUUUUCUCUACUUCCCCAUCUCUCUUCUCUGGCUCUCCAUCUUCAGGUCUCUUUUUUCUGGUCCAUCUUGCUCACCACCCUUACCUCUCUUCCCUCUCCUUGACUGGUCCCAACUCUUCAUUUCUCUGAUUCUCUCCCACCCUGAUCUGUUUUUCACUCUGAUUUUCUCUCCAACUGUCUUUCUCCAUUUGACUCCACUCCUCCUCUUCAGUUUUUCAUCUCUCAUUUUGUUUGAAUUUUGUGUGUGUGUGUGUGUGACUCUCCGUUUUCUUCUCUCUCCAUCACUGACUCUCCAUUUCUCCAUCUAAAAUUCUGUCACCUAGUUUGAAGCUCUAAUAAUAGCCAACAUUUACUUAGGGCUGACACACAUCAGACACUACAUCACUCAUAUAUAGUUACAUGCAUACAUAUACAUCACACACACAAAUAUGUACACUUUUCUCAAAACUCUAGUUUCCACUCUCAUCGUUCUACGUUUCUUUCCAUCUCCCAAGUACACGGUGCGAUCACACUUCUCUCGUGGACCGUGUGAGCCUCUCUCCGUCGGGUCCAUUAGUCUCUCGCCCUCGAUCUCUCCAGUUUUCAGCUUCUCUCCUCGUCUCAACCUCCCCGUCUCUCAGUCCCUCAGUUUCUCGAAACUCCUUUUUGUGCCUCCAUUUCUGUCAACCUCUCUGACCCUCAGUUCUCUUAGCAACGCUCAGGCUCCAUCUCUAUCUGCUUCUCCCGGCUGCCCGGCUUCCUCCAACACCUUGCCUCAUCUCGGGGUCUCCCCGUUCCCCUCAGCCCGCUCCCAAGCUGUUCCCGAUCCCGAUCGAGCUCCAGUCGCCGCCACCACCGCCCCACGCAGCCGCCCCG
RNAcentral lists this long non-coding RNA (1006 nucleotides) under Bos grunniens (domestic yak). RNAcentral's name for it is "lncRNA (ENSBGRG00000014712.1)". The record is from RNAcentral. Lineage: Eukaryota; Metazoa; Chordata; Mammalia; Artiodactyla; Bovidae.